Molecule: ribosomal RNA, 449 nt
Filed under: uncultured bacterium
Lineage: Bacteria
Description: bacterial SSU rRNA
Rfam family: Bacterial small subunit ribosomal RNA
Source: RNAcentral
AGAGUUUGAUCCUGGCUCAGAUUGAACGCUGGCGGCGUGCUUAACACAUGCAAGUCGUGCGAGAAAGGGGACUUCGGUCCCUGAGUAGAGCGGCGCACGGGUGAGUAACGCGUGGAUAAUCUCCCCAGAAGUUCGGGAUAACGGCGGGAAACUGCCGCUAAUACCGGAUACGCUCCAAUUUCGGUUGGGGGAAAGGCGGCCUCUGUUUACAAGCUGUCGCUUCUGGAUGAGUCCGCGUCCCAUUAGCUUGUUGGUGGGGUAAUGGCCUACCAAGGCUACGAUGGGUAGCUGGUCUGAGAGGAUGAUCAGCCACACUGGAACUGAAACACGGUCCAGACUCCUACGGGAGGCAGCAGUGGGGAAUAUUGCGCAAUGGGGGAAACCCUGACGCAGCGACGCCGUGUGAGGGAUGAAGGCUUUCGGGUCGUAAACCUCUGUCGGGAGGGAAG